RNAcentral lists this ribosomal RNA (253 nucleotides) under uncultured bacterium. RNAcentral describes it as "partial 16S ribosomal RNA". It matches the Rfam family "Bacterial small subunit ribosomal RNA", at positions 524 to 776 of the family's 1533-position model. The record is from RNAcentral.
UGCGUAGGGUGCAAGCGUUAUCCGGAAUUAUUGGGCGUAAAGAGCUCGUAGGCGGUUUGUCGCGUCUGCUGUGAAAACCCGAGGCUCAACCUCGGGCCUGCAGUGGGUACGGGCAGACUAGAGUGCGGUAGGGGAGAUUGGAAUUCCUGGUGUAGCGGUGGAAUGCGCAGAUAUCAGGAGGAACACCGAUGGCGAAGGCAGAUCUCUGGGCCGUAACUGACGCUGAGGAGCGAAAGCGUGGGGAGCGAACAGG